CCUACGGGAGGCAGCAGUGAGGAAUAUUGGUCAAUGGACGAGAGUCUGAACCAGCCAAGUAGCGUGAAGGAUGACUGCCCUAUGGUUUGUAAACUUCUUUUAUAUGGGAAUAAAACGUUCCACGUGUGGGAUUUUGUAUGUACCAUAUGAAUAAGGAUCGGCUAACUCCGUGCCAGCAGCCGCGGUAAUACGGAGGAUCCGAGCGUUAUCCGGAUUUAAUGGGUUUAAAGGGAACGUAGGUGGAUUGUUAAGUCAGAUGUGAAAGUUCGGGGCUCAACCGUAGAAUUGCAGUUGAAACUGGCAGUCUUGAGUACAGUAGAGGUGGGCGGAAUUCGUGGUGUAGCGGUGAAAUGCUUAGAUAUCACGAAGAACUCCGAUUGCGAAGGCAGUUCACUGGACUGCAACUGACGCUGAGGCUCGAAAGUGUGGGUAUCAAACAGGAUUAGAUACCCGUGUAGUC
RNAcentral lists this ribosomal RNA (460 nucleotides) under uncultured bacterium. RNAcentral's name for it is "partial 16S ribosomal RNA". It matches the Rfam family "Bacterial small subunit ribosomal RNA", at positions 338 to 795 of the family's 1533-position model. The record is from RNAcentral.